RNAcentral lists this non-coding RNA (28 nucleotides) under Mus musculus (house mouse). Lineage: Eukaryota; Metazoa; Chordata; Mammalia; Rodentia; Muridae. The record is from RNAcentral.
UGGACGACAGUUUGAACAAUGGUGCUAG